Molecule: long non-coding RNA, 828 nt
Organism: Gossypium arboreum
Lineage: Eukaryota; Viridiplantae; Streptophyta; Magnoliopsida; Malvales; Malvaceae
Exons: 3
Source: RefSeq, a predicted model, not a curated record
CCAAACUAAGCCUUAGUAAAGACGUUUUCAGAUUUCCAACGAAAAGAUAUUGUCUUCCCAGCUGUUAGUCUUCUUCCUUUGAUCUUUUCUUUUCCAUCGUUGCCUUCUUCUUAUUCGCAGCCCGUCUUCCACUCAUUUUCCUCUUCUAAAGAUUUUUGUACCGCCAUGUAUUUUCCUGCUAGAUAGAUCGUCUUCUCCUCUUUUGUCCCCGCAACUGGUGUUGUUACUAUUUCCAAUUGGUUUAUCUCCAUCCCCGAUCUACCUCUGCUUCAGUAAUGCCAUUUCCGCCGGACCCAGGAGCCAGGAUCUGUUCUGUCUAUUAUCAAAGGCAGCAUCAAAGUUUAUCUUGAAGAACUCUUUUUCCGGAGGCCUCCAUAACUCAGAUUCCAACCUUAAGCUGCCCAGAUAGCCCAUAAAGUGCAAAUGAAGGUCUGACUGGCUUCUCUUGUACUGUGGAGCAUAAUUCAGGUAAACCAUUCCAUAAACUCUACUUGUGAAAGAGCCUGAGGCCAUGUAAACUCUAAUUUUUCCCAUAUUUCUUUUGUGACAGUGCAAUCCCGGAAGACGUGUUCUCUUGUUUCCAGCCCUUACAAGCACCUCUAACAAUUGGCCUCAUUUAUUAGUCGCUUAGCUUUUAGGUUUACUAGAGUAGGGAUAAAGUUAAGGGUGACUCUCCAGGCAGAAAUAUUAAUUUUUGAAGGGAGGUCACAGCUCCAGAGUUUUUUGUAACAUGUAUUGAUUUCCUCUUGCCUGUAAUUUUCAUUUCUUUGUAAGAGGAUUUUGUAACUGCUGCACACAGAAUACUCUCCAGAUGCCUCGCCUUGCCAA